This is a non-coding RNA of Macaca mulatta (Rhesus monkey), 8379 nucleotides long. The record is from RefSeq and is a predicted model, not a curated record. Lineage: Eukaryota; Metazoa; Chordata; Mammalia; Primates; Cercopithecidae.
UGAUGUACAAUUACCAAGCUCAUCAAUUACGCCAAUAACAGAAAUGCGUAUCAACCAAGAGAAAGUAGCUCUGGAGAUUAAGAAAAUGACCUAGGUUCAGUCUCAUUUUAAAGAUAGAAAAAUGGAAAUGUCUUUGUCUUUCAUGGACACACUUUCAGGGUAUUGAAUUAAAGUAAUCGUCUUUGAUAAUUAAGUCUACUAAACGUGUACAUAUUUUCAACCAUUCUAAAUCUUUUAAAAAAUAUAUAUCGUGCAAAAUGCAUCGGAUGUUAACAAUUUUUUCUCUCUGUAUUAGUUUAGAAAUUAAAGAUGCAUACGUCCAAGAUGAAAUCAAAAGUCAGUUUUAAGGUGUAAAUUAUCUAAGCCAGGUAUAUAAAUUUAAUUUUUGCCAAAGUUGUGUUUUUACAUGUAUCCACUGAACUAGAGCCUCCUGUGGAUGUCAGGCAAUAUGAAAUUUAUAGUGAUGGUAGAUUAUUAGAGCAACAUGGUGUAGCACCUUGAGAAAAUAAAAUAUUUCACCGUCGACCUUCAUAUUCCUAACAAAAAAUGCUGGUACAACAUGCACAUUUUGAAAUUAGUGUGAAACCCCAGUGCUACAGUGAUGAAGCAAGCUCCUUUUUAAUUUUAGUUUUUUUAUAUUAACCCAACCAAAAUUUAGAGCCAGUCCAUUUUAUGAUGGUUUUAGACACUCGGUGUCAAUUGUUCAAUGGUACCAACUAACUUUUCAUAUCACCUUUUAUUUAUCGUUUGCUUUUCACAGCAACUGAGCACAUCACUGUGCUUUCUCCUUUUCCCUGAAGAAGUAAACUUGCCUUUUUAGCUUCCUGAAAAAAGCAGGCGACUCUGGUGGCUUAUAUUUAGUUACAGUUCAUAAAGGCAGGACUGCGAGUCAGACCCGGGACUUCUUUCUUUUCUGUUGUGUGUUUGCGUGCUGAUGGGGACUGGCUUUUCUUCUUAUUGUUGUAGUUUGAAAUGGAAACGCUGCACUGCUGAGAAAAUACCAUGAAAAUAUAACCCACUGCAUUCCAGGAAAAUAAAUAAGCAAGGCCACCCAAAUUUUCAAUUAGUGCUCCGGCAGAAUGCAGGAAAUGGCAAGAGAUCCGUCCAAGGCACCCUAGGCCGGGUCGUGGGUAGAGAGCAGGGACGAAGGCUGGGAGGGGACACAGGCGCAGUGUGAAGAUGGCCCGUCUCCAAGGAAAACUGCGUGCUAAUAGGCUGGGCUGGCGUCCUGGAUCAGCCCGGCCGGGCUGUCCGUUCUGACUGAGGGUGCAGCUGUGCUUCGUUCAGGGCAGGGUGCUGCCUGGUGAAGUGACACUCGAGAGUUCCAGGGGCACUUCCCAUCUUACACGAUAAGCUUAACCAACGUUCUCCAUAACCCCUCCCCGCCAUGGGAAGCGUCAGCCUCCUGAAACAGCAGUAUGCUGGUCCGUUGUGAAAAGGAUCAAACGCUUUUGAUUUAAAGCGUUAGGCCUAAGAAGCGCUGUUUCCUCCUCGGUGGGCACAUGCCUGGCUAACAUGCCCCAGCCGACCGGGGAAGCCGCUGGCCCUAAGGGAGAAAGGCGCAGGGAUGUCCCCUCCGCAGAGCGAAUGUCAGGGAAGAAGCCAGGUCUUCCGAGGGGCUGACAAGGCCGGGCGCACACGCUCCUUCCCUCCAUGGUGUUUCUCUGCAAUGUUCAAAUCACUGGUGUGAUGGCAGCACUUGAAAGCCGAAAAAGGAAAGAUGAAAACAAAGGAUUCUUCAGGGAACGUGUAUACAGACUCCUGCUUCCCCUCACUUGCUUUCUGUUUCACUUCUCAGAUGGUCACGACAGCGUCUGCAGCUUUCCAGCUCAUCAGGGUGAACUGAAGACGAGGGGACAAUGAGGUUGGGUGUUUCGGCAGCACGGUGGUGUCCCAGCUUACAAAACAGACAACUAUGAUUAUUUGGGAUACAUUUUAUCUGUUGUGAGCCUAAACCUUUUUUACUUCUAAAACCUUCAGGUUGCAUUGGUAAACAAGAAGUAAAUAUACACAUUCUAUUUAUUCUUAGAACCAAGAAAUGAACUAAUUGAGUAGCGAGUGUGGACCACAGUUGCAAAGGAAAGAAACUCACAAGCGAGCUCUCCAAGCUGUGAUUAUGUGGGCAAGAAGAAUGGCCUGGGUGAAGAGAAGAUGAAGAGCCAUCACUCCAACCAAACAGCAAAUAUGAAAUUCAAAUUAUCCUUUGUAAUUUUUCAGUUAGCAGUGCUGUGUAUCUGUGGAAAUCAUGGGAGAGAUUAAAAAAAAUUCUUAUCACCUCACAAAGGUAGAAUGAACGGGAACAAAAGCGCUGACUGUAUAUUUCUUCUUAGCCAGCUUCUUCCAGUUGAGCACAUUUUCUUGGCAAAUCGACUAUUUUGUUAGGUUAAAAAGGCUGUCGUUUCCUUUUCAGAGUAAAAUCAGGAAUUUCAUUUUUGUACAAUACUACAGCAUUUCCUAUCAUUGAAUUCUAAUGAUUUGAGAGUGUGUUUUUUGUCUAGGUUUCAAAUACAAAGCAAGGAACAGAAAAAAAAAAAAAACUCUUUCCAUUUGCAGUAGUUUCAAAAUACACAUGGCUUGAGAUUUUGUAAGUUAAGGAAUUUCCAGCCACAGAGAAAUCAAGAACUGUGACCAAUCCCAGGGCAGCUCUGGGAGGAACAGCCCGUGGAGCGUGGGCAGCCGUGGCCUUCUAGCCUGGCCCCUCUGGCCCUCAGGUGCCGCGCUCUGCUUCUCUUCUUGUCUUCUGUCUUUUCACCACCAUACCUGCAGCUCUUGGCGUUUGUUAGGACCUUCCAUCCAUCCAGCGGCUUCCAGAAAAUUAUCUAAUGAAUUCAUACCCAUGUGAGUUAUUCAUGGGGUUUAACUGAUUUAUUCAGCAAAUGUGCAGAUGUUUCCAAGCACCCUACUUGUUGAGGUCUCUGAGAAAUAUAGAAAUGAUGCUGGCACUUGAUAAAAUACCAAAAUAAAUCACCACCCUGCAAGGCUUUGGACUCGGCGUCAGAACUGGAAAGGAUCUUGACACCACACAGACCAACCCUCUGAUUUCAUAGAUGAGAACGUUAAGGCCUAGAACCAGCCAAUGACAUGAGCGGAUUUCCACUAAAACUCCAUAGAAAUCUGCUGGUCUCUCUGGUGCUCUUUCUGGAUUGCGUCAAUAUCCAAAUCUUUCUCACGUGUUGUGGUAGAUGAAAUUGCUGUUAAAAUAUUCACUGCCCCUCUGACAGGCUUCUCCCACUGAGAGAAUGACACACCCUCAUCCCGCUAACGUCAGCCUUGGCCCUGACUUGCUUUGAGAGUGGAAUGAGAGCAGAAGUGACCUGUGCCGUGGUGCGACAGAAGCUAUCUGCCUUUUUUUUUUCCUUCCAGGGCAUCCACGUUCAUCUGAAUAAAGACUGCCUCUUCAGCCACAGCUAAGAUGCCUGUAAUAGGAGUGAGAGCCGCCUCUGUUGCAGGAAGCCCCUGGGAUUUCAGAGCUGCUUGUAACUGCAGCCUAACACAGCCUCAGCAGACCGAUACGUCGUCGUGUCGCCAAAACAGAGCAGGAAGGAAUCAGAGUCAGCAGUGAUGGUUCUGUUGGUUAAAACUAGUGACACCGACUGGCACACUCACCUGAAUGGUGCACGGUUGGCACAAACGGAUUUGUGGAUGUGAUUUGGAAAUGGAGAGAUUCUGUGUCCUAAAACCAAUGUACAGAUGGUGACCUCCAGGAACAUGGAUGGAGUUGGAGGUCAUUAUUCUUCACAAACUAAUGCAGGAACAGAAAACCGAAUGCUACAUGUUCUCACCGCACAAAUGACAGUAACCAUCACACACUGAUCUGCAGAUAAAGAGGGAAGCUAUUUUUUUCUCACCGUUUCUGUCUGAUUUGGAAACCAAGCAGUGGCUGGUUAGUAAUAUCAUUUUGUUUCCAUUCCACUGUGUGUGACUGUCAUCCAAUACCUGUGUACUCUCAGCUUCCAUAAAUUCGGUAAAUUGUAUUGGAUUAAUAGCUGGAUGGAACACGGCCAAGAAACCAGUGUGUUAAAGGAGAAAAUGUUGGCUAUUCUAUUUAUAUUCAUUUUACCGUUGAGCCAGCCAAUGAAACUGAGUUAUGGAUGGAUGUCAGAGUACAAGGAACCAAUUUUCAGUUUGAACAAUUCCACUUUAUUUCUUCAGAAGUAGCACACAGGAGGAAGAACACAGUAACAACAAUUGGCUUUUCAACGCUGCGUGUUUGCACUAAGAUUUUAUCAUUGAGCAUUUUAAGAGAGGAUCAUGCUGAAAAUGAAAUCGUCUGAUACUUUGGGGGAUUCUGAGCUGAUGGAUGACGGUGUGGGCUGGGGGUCUCCUGCCUGGGUAAUGGGUGCUGCUGCACGCAGCCCCCAGCCCCACGCGUUUCCAUCAUCACCACUGCCUGCUCACAGCUCUCAGGAAGGAUUCCAGGCGCCUUUCAUCGUUCCUGUAGCGAACACGCACCACUCAAAAUACCAGUAAUUAAAUCUCUCUCAGACGAAAUGCACAGGACUUGAAGGCUUAAGCAUUUUACAUGGGGAGAGAAGAACAGACAUGGAAAGCAACCUGAGAAAGGCAGCUGUGUGAAGGAGCCGCCUUCGGAGGGCUGGUGCUGAGAGAAGCCGCCUUCGGAGGGCUGGUGCUGAGACAUCCUUUGGGUGGUUUUGUCGAGAUCGGUCGAGAUCGAGAGGAAUAAGGGACGUUUCUAUAAUGCCUGUUUGAUUCAGAGUGGACAAAGGGAGAAGCUCUGCGCGAAUGUGCCCUGCUCACUGAUUCGGAUUGGGCAGCACAGCUGGGAAGCCAGGCGGUGCCUGAGAAUGCUGCUGUCACCGUCACCGUGCUGGUGGACCCUCAUAGCCAAGGUGACUGGAAGGCUGGGCUCACUUUCAAAGAUCCUUACCUGAAUACCUAAAAGAACAAAAGUUCUGCAAUGAAGAUUCCUUGUGAAACACUCGGGGUUAUAGUUUGAAGUGAACCAAACAGCCGGCUCAUUGUUUGAGAAACAGUUGUUUCACGGGUGAAUCGACUCCUCUUCGGCAGCCACUGGUUUGCUAAGGAUUUACUUUGAACAUUUCGAUGAUGUAAUUAGUUAAGAUGUGGCCAUACCGGCCUAGUGGGCCCUAAAUCCAGUGAGACUGGUAUCCUUAUAAGAAGACGGAGACACGGGGAGAAGAUGGCCCCGUGAUACCAGAAGCAGACUGGAGUGAUGCAUCUGCAAACCAGGAAACAUCAAGCAAUGCUGGCAACACCAUGAGAAGAGACAAGGGAGGACCCUUCCCUAGCACUUCAGAGGGCAGACGGCCCUUCUGGCACCGUGACUUGGGACUUCUAGCUUCCAGAACCCUGAGAGAAUACGCCUGUGGUUUGAAGCCACCCGGUCUUUGCCAGUGUGUCAUGGCAGCUCUAAGAAACCAACCCAGCGUGGUUAUGCAUUUUCCUUAAGUCCAGAUCUUGGCUAACAGGAAGUGGCAAGAAAAUAAGGAAAAGCCAACUCUCUCUCUCUCUCUCUCUGGCCAGGAUGGUGUCUCCUCCCACGUGGAGAAGGAGAGCUGCUCCUUCUGCCAUUACUGCCAUUACUGCUAAUGAAAAGUGAAAUGACAAGUGAGGAGUGAGAAAAUCGGAUGGCCCCUGGUGGGCACACGCUGUGGGACUCGCUAGCCAGUGUAAGGAGCUCGGAGAGGCGUGACAGCGCUCCCCAGACAGGACGGUUCUCCAGAUUUUGAGAAAGGCACGUCUUCUCUGGUCAUCUCUAGUUUCAGACCCAGAGAAAAGCCCGGUUCUUGGCUGGUAUUUAAGCUCCUCAUUUUUGUCACAUUGCUUUCUCACUCUAAUGGUCUUGAUCAAGUUUUCACCCUGUGAGAGUCACACGCGGGAGGAAUGGGAUGGAGCGCUCAGCCGUUCACAGAGCCCAGCCCUGCCUCCCUCUGCUUGGUGUGCUUACUCUUGGCAAGAUGCAGCUUCCUGUUCAGAGAAAAAGGACUUAAAAAGGAUCGUAAAAUGGGCUCCCAAGGCUCCUUGAAUAGCAAAUAGCUUUUAAAAGACAACACUUUAAUGGCCUAUGAGUAUCCAAGUCAAAAACAAAAGUAUUGAAUAUCCCUUUAAAUGUGUAUGAGUUUAAAAAGCAAGAUGGGAAUAGAUUUGGCAAAGUUUCUUCUGGAUUUUAUAGAAUUCAAAAUGCUCAAAAAAUUUUUACCUAUACGCCCACACACAACUGCAAAACUUUUAUAAACGACGUGGGGAGAUAACAAAAAUGAUACUGUGCAAAUCCAAACAGUAUGCAGCUUCUGCAUUGCUGUGCCUGAUGGAAAUAUUUCUCUCUUUUAUGAGCGUCUCUCUGUGCGUGGAGAAGGAAGAAAGAUGGGCGUAUGAGGCAGGGAGGGGAGAAAGGAGGAAGAGAAGCCUAUUCCGGGCUUCAUGGCCGUUCUCAGUACUCACUCGUGUGCCCUCUAAAUGGAACCAUUUGCUGUACAUUUUGAAUUGCUAACAUUUGGUAGACUAGGGGACAAUGGAUUUUUGCGUAAACUAUGAAUUUUAUGACAAUGAAUUAGCAUGUUCAUUGAACAGAAAGUAAACAAAGCUUAGUACAAAAUCGGUUCAGUAGAUAACCUAACUCUUCUGCUGCUUAAUGAAGUGUUGGUGAUGAAACCAAAACAAAUAGCUUUAUGCUUUGUAAAGCACAGGGAAACGUACUUUCGUGUUUAAUUACUGUGUGGUUAUGACAAGGCUGGUACCUGCCUGAACCAUAAGUGACAAAGUUUGCAGCAGCCGCUCCUGCUUCAGCAGACUGGGUGUUGAACUAACCAGUUACAGCACUGGCAUUAGAACAGAGAGGGAAAAUGGGCAUGCAAAUAUAGUCAGUUCUGACGAACCUCCAACAUCUGUGAAGCACCUACUGCGUGUGUGCCAGGCACUGGGGAUAUGGCACAAUGAGAUGGGGGCAUUUGCAUUGUCCAGAACUCUAGGGAGGGUAGGGAGGAUGAGGCGUGACUGUCUUAGUAGUUUUGUGAUGAUGAAUUUCGUGUCACCUUGACUGGACCAGGUUAGUUCAGAUAUUUGGCUAACCUUUAUUCUGGGGGUUUCUGUGAGGGUGUUUUGGAUGAGAUGGGCAUUUAAAUUGGUAGACCGUGUAAAACAGAUGCCCCCCCCCUCCAAGUGGGUGAGCACCAUCCAAUCUGAGGAGGCCUGAACAAAACAAAAGGCAGAGGAGGGGAUUUGUUCUCUCUGCCUCACUUCUUGAGCUGGGGCAUGGUUCUUUUCCUGUCAUCUUUUUAGGCCAUCUGCUCUCCUGGUUCUCAGACCUUCGGACUCAGGCUGGACCCACACCACUGGCUCUGUUGGGCCUCCAGCGACUUCUACAACUGUGCGAGCCAAUUUCUUAUAAUGGCCCAUGUCCCCCACCUGGGUUCUGACUGUCUGGAGAACCCCAAUUAAUACAGAUUUCUAAGGAGACACCGAGGCAAGAAUUUGAGGACUACUAGUUGAAUAGGAGUGAUCCAGGAAGCAUGGCUAGGAAGGAGAGCGACAGAAAUGAGACAGGGAAAGGAAGGAAGUCAGCCAAGGCUCACUGGCACUGUGGGCAACGGGCCACACCGGGAAAUGUUAUGAAACGGAAGCUGAUGUUCGUCUGCCUGAGGAUGAGGGAGGUGGGCCAGUCAUCUUCCAGCUCUCUCCCACUUCAUUGCCUGAGAGCUGCUCCUGGGAGCAUUAACUCCUCAGCCCUUCUGGCCUCUGCUGUGCAGAUCAUGAGACGCCUUCACAGGGAGCACGGCAGGCUCUUGUAGACGGAUGCUCUCCACAGGUCCUGGAAGCUAAGGACUGAGGGCAUAAGGGUGAGCAUCGAAUGGCAUCCACUGUCAUGACUGAGGGGAUGGAGACUGGGCUGGUAACCCAGGCAGAGUUCAGAGGAGGAAGAGUGUUAUGGGAUAGAGUAAGAAGGGAGAGAUUUACGGAGGAGUUGGGGCAUUGACUCAGCCUCUGUAAGAGGGGAAGAGGCAUGGUGAGCCCGGGUUGUGGAGUGUGUAGUCUCGGAGGCUGCGGAGAGCCUGAGCUGGUGAUGAAAGCUGGAUCAUUGAGGACCGUCUGCUCCGGAAUGGCUGCAGUGCAAGCGGAUGUUGGCCCCAGUGUGUGCCACGGAUGUUGGCCCCAGUGUGUGCCACGGAUGUUGGCCCCAGUGUGUGCCACGGAUGUUGGCCCCAGUGUGCCACAGAUGUUGGCCCCAGUGUGCCAUGGAUGUUGGCCCCAGUGUGUGCCACAUGGACAGGGCAUCUUGAGCAGAGACACAUGAAGUAUUUUGGCGUGGCAGAGCCUCUCCCUUGCUCCCCAGCAUCCAUUCUUUCUAAUUUUUUUUUUUUUGAGUCAGAGUCUUGCUCUGUUGCCCAGGCUGGAGUGCAG